This 301-nucleotide ribosomal RNA is filed under the name uncultured bacterium. RNAcentral describes it as "partial 16S ribosomal RNA". It matches the Rfam family "Bacterial small subunit ribosomal RNA", at positions 509 to 809 of the family's 1533-position model. The record is from RNAcentral.
CAGUCGCCGCGGUAAUACGUAGGUGGCAAGCGUUGUCCGGAAUUAUUGGGCGUAAAGGGCUCGCAGGCGGUUUCUUAAGUCUGAUGUGAAAGCCCCCGGCUCAACCGGGGAGGGUCAUUGGAAACUGGGAAACUUGAGUGCAGAAGAGGAGAGUGGAAUUCCACGUGUAGCGGUGAAAUGCGUAGAGAUGUGGAGGAACACCAGUGGCGAAGGCGACUCUCUGGUCUGUAACUGACGCUGAGGAGCGAAAGCGUGGGGAGCAAACAGGAUUAGAUACCCCCGUAGUCCCUGUCUCUUAUAA